Long non-coding RNA from Motacilla alba alba, 852 nucleotides. RefSeq lists it as uncharacterized. The record is from RefSeq and is a predicted model, not a curated record. NCBI's taxonomy places the organism in Eukaryota, Metazoa, Chordata, Aves, Passeriformes, Motacillidae. The transcript has 3 exons.
CAGAGAUUCUCCUCCCAAACAGAUGUCCACAGGAGCAGGAGGCAGAACCGCCAAGCAACAACAUCUGGGCUGGCAAAGCAGAGGAGACACUCCAAAAACAACACAGGGCUUCAAACACAGGUGAUUGUUCCAUUGGAUUCUGCUGUGAAUUGUUUUGAUGCACUGGCCAAUUGGUGCCAAGCCGUGUCGAGACUCUGGAGAGAGUCAUGAGUUUUCAUUAUUAGCUUCUUAGCAUGCACCAAAUGCUUUAACUCCAGCAUACCAAAGGAUGAGGAGGUUUGGAAGCUGCUAGAGGAACUCAAAGCAGGAAAAACGAGAUGCACAAUUCCACAAGGAUUAUCCCUAGUGUUCCUUUCUGCGUGGGGUUUUUUGUCACUCUGCACCAUCAGAUGUGGAGGAUCAAAGGAGGAUCAGAAAAUGAGAGGAGAGGAGAGGAGAGGAGAGGAGAGGAGAGGAGAGGAAUCAGUCCUACAAACCCCAUUGUCUCCCUCAGACCUAAGAAGCUCCAUGAAGUCCUUGAAGUGGGUCCCUCACGCCCUGUUUGGUGGCUGGAAGGAGAGGGACAUGGAGAGAACUUUAGGCCACCUGGAAAUGUUGACCUUGGAUAUGUUCUUCAAGGCUUCUGAGUUCCUUAGAAAAAACAUCUCCAUAAAUUGGGAUGGAUUGGGUCAAAGGAUGAGCUGCACUGAAGGAAGAUUUCUCAGCAGUGGGGUGGAUAAAAGGAUUUAAACAAGUCCCAAAAGAAACCCCAACUUUUUAUUUGUUCCUUUUUACAAGGCUGCAUCUGUUUACUAUUUUAGGAAUAAAUUCACGAGCAGGGUGGGCAGAUCUAUAUUGUUCCUAAUCCCCCAG